UACGUAGGGUGCAAGCGUUAUCCGGAAUUAUUGGGCGUAAAGAGCUCGUAGGCGGUUUGUCGCGUCCGCUGUGAAAACUGGAGGCUCAACCUCCAGCCUGCAGUGGGUACGGGCAGACUAGAGUGCGGUAGGGGAGAUUGGAAUUCCUGGUGUAGCGGUGGAAUGCGCAGAUAUCAGGAGGAACACCGAUGGCGAAGGCAGAUCUCUGGGCCGUAACUGACGCUGAGGAGCGAAAGCGUGGGGAGCGAACAGG
RNAcentral lists this ribosomal RNA (253 nucleotides) under uncultured bacterium. RNAcentral describes it as "partial 16S ribosomal RNA". It matches the Rfam family "Bacterial small subunit ribosomal RNA", at positions 524 to 776 of the family's 1533-position model. The record is from RNAcentral.